Long non-coding RNA from Panicum virgatum (switchgrass), 612 nucleotides. RefSeq lists it as uncharacterized. The transcript has 2 exons. The record is from RefSeq and is a predicted model, not a curated record. Lineage: Eukaryota; Viridiplantae; Streptophyta; Magnoliopsida; Poales; Poaceae.
UAUAUAUAUGUCGUUUUGAUUUUUUUUUUCUUUAUUUGAACAUGUAAAAUACAAUACCUUAAGUUUUUUCUUGCAAUUUAUGAACUGCAAGAUAAAUAUAUAUCACCUUUUGUUGUAUGAUCAACAUUGAUAUAACAUUCUAAAGUCACAUGGGGUGAAGAAAGAGACACAAGCUCAGUUUAUCGAUUUUGCUCCUCUUGUUUCCCCAUGGAAAUAUCAGCAUUGCAGUAUCCCCUAAAGGAGGACCUUGAAGCCACAUAGAUUAAGGAAUGAUGACACAAUUUUUAGGCUGAAAUUGAAGAGCACGUGGGGACCAUCAACCCAAGCACGCAGAGCUGAAGGACAACACAAGAAUGUGCUUAGCCACUAGUCUUAUCUACAUCUUUAAUAGCUUCUGAAAUCUCAACUUGUAACUGAUUACAUAUAGUGUUAUGGACUUAUGGUCGAACCUUUUCGGUUAACAUUGGUUCAGUUUUAGUCUAUCAAGACAAUUCUAAAUCAGUAUUUAUGUUAUUGUUUAUUUUUAUGUGUUUCAUUAUUUUCCUAUUUUUUUAUCUAUUGUAGGGCACUGUCAUUUUCUUUCAUGUUGAUAAUUCAAUUAUUCAUUAUUCA